RNAcentral lists this ribosomal RNA (377 nucleotides) under uncultured eukaryote. RNAcentral's name for it is "partial 18S ribosomal RNA". It matches the Rfam family "Eukaryotic small subunit ribosomal RNA", at positions 592 to 976 of the family's 1831-position model. The record is from RNAcentral.
CAAUAGCGUAUAUUUAAGUUGCUGCAGUUAAAAAGCUCGUAGUUGGAUUUCGGGUGGGAAUGGCCGGUCCGCCGUUUCGGUGUGCACUUGCUACGCCCACCUUGCUGCCGGGGACGUGCUCUUGAGUUCACGCUCGGGACACGGAGUCGGCGAGGUUACUUUGAGUAAAUUAGAGUGUUCAAAGCAGGCCUACGCUCUGAAUACAUUAGCAUGGAAUAACACGAUAGGACUCUGGCCUAUCUUGUUGGUCUGUAGGACCGGAGUAAUGAUUAAGAGGGACAGUCGGGGGCAUUCGUAUUUCAUUGUCAGGGGUGAAAUUCUUGGAUUUAUGAAAGACGAACUACUGCGAAAGCAUUUGCCAAGGAUGUUUUCAUUGA